AGUGAACGCUGGCGGUAGGCCUAACACAUGCAAGUCGAACGGCAGCACAGUAAGAGCUUGCUCUUACGGGUGGCGAGUGGCGGACGGGUGAGGAAUACAUCGGAAUCUACUUUUUCGUGGGGGAUAACGUAGGGAAACUUACGCUAAUACCGCAUGCGACCUACGGGUGAAAGCAGGGGAUCUUCGGACCUUGCGCGAUUGAAUGAGCCGAUGUCGGAUUAGCUAGUUGGCGGGGUAAAGGCCCACCAAGGCGACGAUCCGUAGCUGGUCUGAGAGGAUGAUCAGCCACACUGGAACUGAGACACGGUCCAGACUCCUACGGGAGGCAGCAGUGGGGAAUAUUGGACAAUGGGCGAAAGCCUGAUCCAGCCAUACCGCGUGGGUGAAGAAGGCCUUCGGGUUGUAAAGCCCUUUUGUUGGGAAAGAAAAGCAGCAGGUUAAUACCCCGCUGUUCUGACGGUACCCAAAGAAUAAGCACCGGCUAACUUCGUG
Molecule: ribosomal RNA, 492 nt
Filed under: uncultured bacterium
Lineage: Bacteria
Description: partial 16S ribosomal RNA
Rfam family: Bacterial small subunit ribosomal RNA
Source: RNAcentral